GGACCCGCACAAGUAGUGGAGCAUGUGGUUUAAUUCGAUGAUACGCGAGGAACCUUACCAGGGCUUAAAUGUAACGGGACAGGUCUAGAGAUAGACCCUUCUUCGGACUCAUUACAAGGUGCUGCAUGGUUGUCGUCAGCUCGUGCCGUGAGGUGUCAGGUUAAGUCCUAUAACGAGCGCAACCCCUAUCGUUAGUUGCCAGCGAGUAAUGUCGGGAACUCUAACGAAACUGCCAGUGCAAACUGUGAGGAAGGUGGGGAUGACGUCAAAUCAUCACGGCCCUUACGUCCUGGCUACACACGUGCUACAAUGGCCGGUACAGAGAGCAGCCACUUCGCAAGAAGGAG
Molecule: ribosomal RNA, 347 nt
Filed under: uncultured bacterium
Lineage: Bacteria
Description: bacterial SSU rRNA
Rfam family: Bacterial small subunit ribosomal RNA
Source: RNAcentral